UAUGUAUGUAUGUAUAUACUAUACUACCACUGACCAGAUAACACAUAGACUAGACAUGUAGUACAAAGUUUUUCAACACCGAAAAAUCUGUCUCGUAGGUCCCAAUCAACUUCG
Long non-coding RNA from Drosophila navojoa, 114 nucleotides. Lineage: Eukaryota; Metazoa; Arthropoda; Insecta; Diptera; Drosophilidae. The record is from RefSeq and is a predicted model, not a curated record.